GUAACUUAUGUAACCACCAAUUAAAGACACAAGAUCUAGAUCCAACGUCUAAGGUUUUUUUCACUUAAAUCCUCCAAUCUGAAUACACACGGAUUAGAUUUAAACCCAUAGGUGGAGGGGUUGAAGUGAAAAAAUCUCAGACGUUAAAUCUAGAUCCUGUGGUCUUAAUUGGUGGUUGCAUAGGUUGC
Molecule: microRNA precursor, 188 nt
Filed under: Sorghum bicolor (sorghum)
Lineage: Eukaryota; Viridiplantae; Streptophyta; Magnoliopsida; Poales; Poaceae
Description: pre miRNA MIR811
Source: RNAcentral